GACGAACGCUGGCGGCGUGCCUAAUACAUGCAAGUCGAACGCAUUUUCUUUCACCGUAGCUUGCUACACCGAAAGAAAAUGAGUGGCGAGCGGGUGAGUAACACGUGGGUAACCUGCCCAUCAGCGGGGGAUAACACUUGGAAACAGGUGCUAAUACCGCAUAAUUCCAUUUACCGCAUGGUAGAUGGGUGAAAGGCGCUUUUGCGUCACUGAUGGAUGGACCCGCGGUGCAUUAGCUAGUUGGUGGGGUAACGGCCUACCAAGGCUGCGAUGCAUAGCUGACCUGAGAGGGUGAUCGGCCACACUGGGACUGAGACACGGCCCAGACUCCUACGGGAGGCAGCAGUAGGGAAUCUUCGGCAAUGGACGCAAGUCUGACCGAGCAACGCCGCGUGAGUGAAGAAGGUUUUCGGAUCGUAAAACUCUGUUGUUAGAGAAGAACAAGGAUGAGAGUGGAAAGUUCAUCCCUUGACGGUAUCUAACCAGAAAGCCACGGCUAACUACGUG
RNAcentral lists this ribosomal RNA (507 nucleotides) under uncultured bacterium. Its description in RNAcentral is "partial 16S ribosomal RNA". It matches the Rfam family "Bacterial small subunit ribosomal RNA", at positions 28 to 507 of the family's 1533-position model. The record is from RNAcentral.